This 433-nucleotide ribosomal RNA is filed under the name uncultured bacterium. RNAcentral's name for it is "partial 16S ribosomal RNA". It matches the Rfam family "Bacterial small subunit ribosomal RNA", at positions 29 to 507 of the family's 1533-position model. The record is from RNAcentral.
AACGAACGCUGGCGGCAUGCCUAACACAUGCAAGUCGAACGAGACCUUCGGGUCUAGUGGCGCACGGGUGCGUAACGCGUGGGAACCUGCCCUUAGGUUCGGAAUAACUCCCCGAAAGGGGUGCUAAUACCGGAUAAUGUCUUCGGACCAAAGAUUUAUCGCCUUUGGAUGGGCCCGCGUUGGAUUAGCUAGUUGGUAGGGUAAAAGCCUACCAAGGCGACGUUCCAUAGCUGGUCUGAGAGGAUGAUCAGCCACACUGGGACUGAGACACGGCCCAGACUCGUACGGGAGGCAGCAGUGGGGAAUAUUGGACAAUGGGCGAAAGCCUGAUCCAGCAAUGCCGCGUGAGUGAUGAAGGCCUUAGGGUUGUAAAGCUCUUUUACCCGGGAUGAUAAUGACAGUACCGGGAGAAUAAGCUCCGGCUAACUCCGUG